GAUCAUAUUCUUAGAUCAAAGAUUAAGCCAUGCAUGUCCAAGACUAAACAAGUUGUCAGUGAAUCUGCGUAUGGCUCAUUACAAGAAUCAUCAUUUACCCGAGCACCAACUUACAAUUGGAUAACCGUUGUAAUUCAAGGGCUAAUCAUGCACCCCAAAUAUGCGCGUUUACGUGCAUAUUGCAUUUGUUAGACCAAAACCAACCGGGGCAACCCGUUUUAGGUGAUUCAUGACAAAUUGCGGAUCCUGAAUAAUUUCAGGACGACUCGGUCAAGUCUUUCCCCUAUCAGGUUUCGAAGGCAGUGUAUUGAACUGUCUUGCCGUUGACGGGUAACGGAGAAUUAGGGUUCGAUUCCGGAGAAGGAGCCUGAGAGACGGCUACUACAUCUAAGGAAGGCAGCAGGCGCGCAAAUUUCCCAAUGCUCAUCGAGCGAGGAAGUGACGAUCAAUAACAAUGCGCGACGUUUUACGUUGUGCAAUUGGAAUGACUACAAUUUAAACUAUUUAAGGAGGAC
RNAcentral lists this ribosomal RNA (515 nucleotides) under uncultured eukaryote. Its description in RNAcentral is "bacterial SSU rRNA". It matches the Rfam family "Eukaryotic small subunit ribosomal RNA", at positions 24 to 544 of the family's 1831-position model. The record is from RNAcentral.